RNAcentral lists this ribosomal RNA (253 nucleotides) under uncultured bacterium. RNAcentral's name for it is "partial 16S ribosomal RNA". It matches the Rfam family "Bacterial small subunit ribosomal RNA", at positions 524 to 776 of the family's 1533-position model. The record is from RNAcentral.
GACGAACCACCCAAACGUUAUUCGGAAUUACUGGGCUUAAAGGGUGCGUAGGCGGCCCGGAAAGUUGGGUGUGAAAUCCCUCGGCUCAACCGAGGAAUUGCGCUCAAUACUGCCGGGCUCGAGGGAGAUAGAGGUGAGCGGAACUGAUGGUGGAGCGGUGAAAUGCGUUGAUAUCAUCAGGAACACCUGUGGCGAAAGCGGCUCACUGGAUCUCUUCUGACGCUGAUGCACGAAAGCUAGGGGAGCGAACGGG